RNAcentral lists this ribosomal RNA (497 nucleotides) under uncultured bacterium. RNAcentral's name for it is "partial 16S ribosomal RNA". It matches the Rfam family "Bacterial small subunit ribosomal RNA", at positions 28 to 507 of the family's 1533-position model. The record is from RNAcentral.
GAUGAACGCUGGCGGCGUGCCUAAUACAUGCAAGUCGAGCGAACGGACGAGAAGCUUGCUUCCCUGAUGUUAGCGGCGGACGGGUGAGUAAAACGUGGAUAACCUACCUAUAAGAAUGGGAUAACUUCGGGAAACCGGAGCUAAUACCGGAUAAUAUUUUGAACCGCAUGGUUCAAAAGUGAAAGACGGUCUUGCUGUCACUUAUAGAUGGAUCCGCGCUGCAUUAGCUAGUUGGUAAGGUAACGGCUUACCAAGGCAACGAUGCAUAGCCGACCUGAGAGGGUGAUCGGCCACACUGGAACUGAGACACGGUCCAGACUCCUACGGGAGGCAGCAGUAGGGAAUCUUCCGCAAUGGGCGAAAGCCUGACGGAGCAACGCCGCGUGAGUGAUGAAGGUCUUCGGAUCGUAAAACUCUGUUAUUAGGGAAGAACAUAUGUGUAAGUAACUGUGCACAUCUUGACGGUACCUAAUCAGAAAGCCACGGCUAACUACGUG